UGUGAGCGAGCAGUGGCACAAAACAAGGCCCUGGAGAUGAAAGGUUCCUGGUUUUGCCAAAUACUGGUUCUACGACUUUGGAUAAGCUACAUGAUUUCUCUGUGCCUCAGUUUCGUCAUGUGUGAAAUGAGGGUACAAAAGCAGACAAAUUCAAAGAAACCAGCCUUUGGCAACUGCAAAGAGAGUGCAUAGGAUAAGGCCUGUGAACAAAGCUGUGAAAACCCAUAUGGUGGCGUGCCUGGAUGAAACUUAUAUCACAUAGAUCACCUUGUUGUAAACAGGUGAGAAGAGUGACUACGCGUUCUUGUUGGCCAUCUACCAAGCCAACAGGGGGUUGGCUACUGUAGAAGAAGGGAGGAACAGAUACAGGAG
This is a long non-coding RNA of Sciurus carolinensis (gray squirrel), 372 nucleotides long. RefSeq lists it as uncharacterized. Lineage: Eukaryota; Metazoa; Chordata; Mammalia; Rodentia; Sciuridae. The record is from RefSeq and is a predicted model, not a curated record. The transcript is spliced from 3 exons.